CUAGCAAUUGCUACAAAUAGGAUCACUGUUAUUUAAGAUAGGUAAUUUCACUGGAAAGUGAAAUCUGUGUGAAAACUUCAACAAGGAUCACAUAAAUCUCUUGCUACAUAGAGAAAUCUGCAGGCUUAGCAAGGGAUGAGCUCUCAGCUAGAAAUAUGAGCACAAAUAUGAAUUGUUGGGGUUCUUUUAAGAAAAUAGAAGGAUAAAUGCUGCUGAGAACUUUGAAGAUUCAGAAUGAAUGUGAAUACCAGCCUGUUCGAUGGACAUUUUCCUCACACUAGCCAGUUGUAAAGCCCUGGAGAAAAUCUGAGCUGCUUUCUGAAAAUUGUCUAUGUCCUGUCACUUCAAGUAAGGAGAUUCUGUUUCAAAGUGCUGGGAUUGGAGCCCACAUCCUCACACAUGCUACCACUCAAGUGUUCUACCACUGAACUACACUCACAGUCCUCCUCUUCUGAUUUUCAUGUAUCAAACUUGGGUCCUUGCGCUUGUGAGGCAGGCAGCGGAACCACUGAGCUAAAUCCCUGGCCCCAUGCCAGAAUUUGCAACUCUGCCAGAAGAGUGCUCCAGACCUACUCAGGCCUGCUUGCCCUAAGAUACAGACAGCUGAAAAUGCCUCAGGUUUAUAUCUUCUUGGAGAAGCUUUUAGCCAAUGAUCAAACUGAUGCUUGAGUACCUGGUUGAGCUUAUCUGAUCAGAAAAACUCAGAAGUACCUUAGACCACAGAGCUUCUCCAUGGGAUCAGGCCAGAGCUGCCCCUAUUGCUUGGUAGUCAUUCUUAGUUCCUGCUUCCUCCACUUCCUUCUAAGAUUUUCCUGGGAGCAUGUCUUUAAAAUUCACUGCACAAAAAUAAAUGCUAAUCUCAGUGUCUCCUGGGAAGUCUGACAUAAUUCUACUCCAAAAAAACUGUUCUAACAUAUUCAGUCCCUUUAAGUUUAUCUUAACUAGAGUUAAGGAGAUUUAAAUAAAUAAAUUGCUCAAGUUUCCAAAUACCAAGGGCAAGAUAAUACUUCACAGGUAUUCGGAAAAUAUUCUAGUAUAUGGUUGCUUUGGCCCUCAAUUUAAAACCUACUACGGAUAUUUAAAAGGGACUGUUGAAGGAGAGAAGGUUGGAAUUUAUCAUUUAUUUUUGUGAUAACUGAG
This is a long non-coding RNA of Heterocephalus glaber (naked mole-rat), 1140 nucleotides long. The record is from Ensembl. Lineage: Eukaryota; Metazoa; Chordata; Mammalia; Rodentia; Bathyergidae.